RNAcentral lists this ribosomal RNA (433 nucleotides) under uncultured bacterium. RNAcentral's name for it is "partial 16S ribosomal RNA". It matches the Rfam family "Bacterial small subunit ribosomal RNA", at positions 29 to 507 of the family's 1533-position model. The record is from RNAcentral.
AACGAACGCUGGCGGCAUGCCUAACACAUGUAAGUCGAACGAGACCUUCGGGUCUAGUGGCGCACGGGUGCGUAACGCGUGGGAACCUGCCCUUAGGUUCGGAAUAACUCCCCGAAAGGGGUGCUAAUACCGGAUAAUGUCUUCGGACCAAAGAUUUAUCGCCUUUGGAUGGGCCCGCGUUGGAUUAGCUAGUUGGUAGGGUAAAAGCCUACCAAGGCGACGAUCCAUAGCUGGUCUGAGAGGAUGAUCAGCCACACUGGGACUGAGACACGGCCCAGACUCCUACGGGAGGCAGCAGUGGGGAAUAUUGGACAAUGGGCGAAAGCCUGAUCCAGCAAUGCCGCGUGAGUGAUGAAGGCCUUAGGGUUGUAAAGCUCUUUUACCCGGGAUGAUAAUGACAGUACCGGGAGAAUAAGCUCCGGCUAACUCCGUG